CGGUAUUCAGUCAGUAUAAUUCAGUAUUCAGUCAGUAUAAUUCAGUAUUCAGUCAGUAUAAUCGGUAUUCAGUCAGUAUAAUUCAGUAUUCAGUCAGUAUAAUCAGUAUUCAGUCAGUAUAAUCCAGUAUUCAGUCAGUAAUAAUCAGUAUUCAGUCAGUAUAAUCGGUAUUCAGUCCAGUAUAAUCAGUAUUCAGUCAGUAUAAUCAGUAUUCAGUCAGUAUAAUUCAGUAUUCAGUCAGUAUAAUCAGUAUUCAGUCAGUAUAAUCAGUAUUCAGUCAGUAUAAUCGGUAUUCAGUCAGUAUAAUCGGUAUUCAGUCA
Long non-coding RNA from Ictalurus punctatus (channel catfish), 320 nucleotides. NCBI's taxonomy places the organism in Eukaryota, Metazoa, Chordata, Actinopteri, Siluriformes, Ictaluridae. The record is from Ensembl.